AGGUGGGGAACCAUGGAGAUGGGGAGUUAAUGGGUCUGCUUUCCCAUUAUGACAUCAUUCUUUAAACUCUAGACAAGAGGCAUACAUUGAAAUAGCCUCUUGGACCAUCACAACUGUCAGAAGAAGAUAACUCCAGGCCAUCUGUCAAAUGCUUACCAUUCUCGAAACUCUCCUUGAGAAAGCUCCAACUCUGGCUAGCCUCACCAGCAGUCAUUUAACUUUUCCCAGUCUUAAAAUGUUCGAGGUGCCCCAGACACAACAAAGAAAUAAAAUAAGUCCCUAAUUUUACAUUC
This is a long non-coding RNA of Suricata suricatta (meerkat), 293 nucleotides long. RefSeq lists it as uncharacterized. The record is from RefSeq and is a predicted model, not a curated record. Lineage: Eukaryota; Metazoa; Chordata; Mammalia; Carnivora; Herpestidae. The transcript has 2 exons.